AUUGAACGCUGGCGGCAGGCCUAACACAUGCAAGUCGAACGGUAACAGGAAGCAGCUUGCUGCUUUGCUGACGAGUGGCGGACGGGUGAGUAAUGUCUGGGAAACUGCCUGAUGGAGGGGGAUAACUACUGGAAACGGUAGCUAAUACCGCAUAACGUCGCAAGACCAAAGAGGGGGACCUUAGGGCCUCUUGCCAUCGGAUGCGCCCAGAUGGGAUUAGCUAGUAGGUGGGGUAACGGCUCACCUAGGCGACGAUCCCUAGCUGGUCUGAGAGGAUGACCAGCCACACGGGAACUGAGACACGGUCCAGGCUCCGAGGGGGGGCAGACGUGGAAAAUAUUGCACAAUGGGCGAAAGCCUGAUGCAGCCAUGCCGCGUGUAUGAAGAAGUCCUGCGGGUUGUAAAGUACUUUCGGCGGGGAGGAAGGGAGUAAAGUUAAUACCUUUGCUCAUUGACGUGCCCCGCAGAAGAAGCACCGGCUAACCCCG
This 488-nucleotide ribosomal RNA is filed under the name uncultured bacterium. RNAcentral describes it as "partial 16S ribosomal RNA". It matches the Rfam family "Bacterial small subunit ribosomal RNA", at positions 30 to 505 of the family's 1533-position model. The record is from RNAcentral.